GAAAUGCGAUAAGUAGUGUGAAUUGCAGAAUUCAGUGAAUCAUCGAAUCUUUGAACGCACAUUGCGCCCUUUGGUAUUCCAAAGGGCAUGCCUGUUCGAGCGUCAUUUGCACCCUCAAGCUUUGCUUGGUGUUGGGCGUCUUGUCUCUAGCUUUGCUGGAGACUCGCCUUAAAGUAAUUGGCAGCCGGCCUACUGGUUUCGGAGCGCAGCACAAGUCGCACUCUCUAUCAGCAAAGGUCUAGCAUCCAUUAAGCCUUUUUUCAACUUUUGACCUCGGAUCAGGUAGGGAUACCCGCUGAACUUAAGC
RNAcentral lists this unclassified non-coding RNA (307 nucleotides) under plant metagenome. RNAcentral's name for it is "partial contains 5.8S ribosomal RNA, internal transcribed spacer 2, and large subunit ribosomal RNA". The stretch from base 1 to 105 matches the Rfam family "5.8S ribosomal RNA", at positions 50 to 154 of the family's 154-position model. The record is from RNAcentral.